RNAcentral lists this long non-coding RNA (303 nucleotides) under Populus tremula. RNAcentral describes it as "long non-coding RNA (PTRE_LNC002942)". The record is from RNAcentral. Lineage: Eukaryota; Viridiplantae; Streptophyta; Magnoliopsida; Malpighiales; Salicaceae.
GGAGGAGACGAUCCCGAUCCACCAGGUUGCUGGUCUUCAUUGGCUGCGGCGCGUGAACCCACGCGCCACCAGUGACGGUGGUGCGUGAGGUCAACGCGCCGCCACGUGUCAAAGUGAUCCCAGAAGGCUCUCCUGCGAUCCUGUGUUUUGGGGGGGGUCUUUUCUGUAAUUUUGAAACUGUUAAGGCCUUGUUUGUGUAAUUUUUUAAUUUUUGUUAUUUGUAAUAUGUGAAUGUAAAAGAAAAAAAAAAGGAAAAGAAAAGAAAAUAAUAAUAAUAAUAAAAAAGGAUGUGUGUGUUGGUGU